Molecule: small RNA, 40 nt
Filed under: Arabidopsis thaliana (thale cress)
Lineage: Eukaryota; Viridiplantae; Streptophyta; Magnoliopsida; Brassicales; Brassicaceae
Description: ATSL223330
Source: RNAcentral
AUAUAUAAAAAUUUUGCAAAUUGUAUCAUUCUCUAAUAUA